RNAcentral lists this ribosomal RNA (645 nucleotides) under Pseudozyma sp. DMST 17136. RNAcentral's name for it is "eukaryotic LSU rRNA". It matches the Rfam family "Eukaryotic large subunit ribosomal RNA", at positions 1 to 624 of the family's 3401-position model. The record is from RNAcentral. Lineage: Eukaryota; Fungi; Basidiomycota; Ustilaginomycetes; Ustilaginales; Ustilaginaceae.
UCAUCGGCCUCAGAUUGGUAGGACUACCCGCUGAACUUAAGCAUAUCAAUAAGCGGAGGAAAAGAAACUAACAAGGAUUCCCCUAGUAACGGCGAGUGAAGAGGGAAGAGCCCAAGAUUGAAAGCUGGCGUCUUCGGCGUCCGCAUUGUAAUCUCAAGAAGUGUUUUCCGCUUCGGACCAUGCCUAAGUCCCUUGGAAAAGGGCAUCAUAGAGGGUGAUAAUCCCGUACAUGGCAUGGAGCGCCCGAAGCUUUGUGAUACGCUUUCUAAGAGUCGAGUUGUUUGGGAAUGCAGCUCAAAAUGGGUGGUAAAUGCCAUCUAAGGCUAAAUAUUGGGGAGAGACCGAUAGCGAACAAGUACAGUGAUGGAAAGAUGAAAAGAACUUUGAAAAGAGAGUUAAACAGUACGUGAAAUUGCCAAAAGGGAAGGGUAGGAGGUCAGAGAUGCGGCCUGGGAUUCAGCCUUGCUUUUGCUUGGUGUUUUUCCCAGGUGGCAGGCCAACGUCGGUUUUGGGCACUGGAGAAGGGUGGGAGGAAUGUGGCACCUCUCGGGGUGUGUUAUAGCCUCCUACUGGAUACAGCGACCGAGACCGAGGACAGCAGCGUACUCGCAAGAGCGGGCCUUCGGGCACCUUUACGCUUAGGGC